AUUAACUUUGUUUCAGUUUUUCGUUGACGUUCGCCAUUUCUAAUCAAAAUUGGCACAAAUUUCAUUCUUUCAAUGGAGAAAUUGAAUUUUUAAUGGACUCGCAAGAAUAUAUAGUUUUUUUAAGAAGGAAAUUCAAAUUUUUUUCUUCACAAAUAUUUAAACAUACUUUCUAAACAGAGCAAAAUUUCCAAUUUAAGGGGAAUCGUCUCUAGGAAUACAUCUAGG
Long non-coding RNA from Leptopilina heterotoma, 225 nucleotides. RefSeq lists it as uncharacterized. The transcript is spliced from 3 exons. Lineage: Eukaryota; Metazoa; Arthropoda; Insecta; Hymenoptera; Figitidae. The record is from RefSeq and is a predicted model, not a curated record.